This is a non-coding RNA of Nothobranchius furzeri (turquoise killifish), 4463 nucleotides long. The record is from RefSeq and is a predicted model, not a curated record. Lineage: Eukaryota; Metazoa; Chordata; Actinopteri; Cyprinodontiformes; Nothobranchiidae.
AGCCCAUCCAGCAUCCAGAAGCACCCGACAAUCAUCCAUAAAGCCAUCUGUUGCUUAAAACCUUAAAAACAAAAAAUACACCAUUAAAAUACCACCACCAGGGAUUAUAAGUUCCUUCACGGUCUGCUGUUAUUUAAAAAAAAAAUCCCGGACGAGCCCCCAUUUAUGUUACGUCCCCCGACAUGUGUUGUUAAAAUGCGAAGGAGGGGGUAAUAUAAGAAAUGUGACAGUGGAUUUUAAAAUGGUUUUAUUUGUAAUAAAAGGUUCUAAAAACGAGCAAACAGAUGGCUAGCAUUAUAAAGAUAAUGCAAAACGAACAAAAACUCUCAAAAAGGUUAACUUUACACAAAUUAUCAAUUCUAAAAACACCUGGUAAAAACUUAUAUUAAAAGCUUUAACGCAACAAAGGUGUUCUUAAAAAUCCUGAAGUUGAUAAAAGUCUGAAAACAAUCCACUGACUAAAACACCUGGUAAAAACUUAUUUUAAAAGUUUUACCGAAUCGAAGGUGUUUAAAACCGGAGUCAAUAAAAUUGUACCAAACCAAGUUAACCUUUAAAACGAACACACAAAAAGAUCCCACUGGAUCACUCGAGUUUGAACAAAAAAAGGUAAAAACUCAUCCAAACGAAAGGGGUUGAAACCGAGCCGAGACCUGGAGGACAGCAGAGCCCCUGCACUGCUGCCUCCCAGAGUGCUGAAGGCACAGCCUUUUUAUCUAGGUGUUGUUAAUCAACAGGAUUUGGCUCAGCUGUGCUCAGCAGCCUGGAAGAGAGGAGGAGGAGGGGCGGUGUCAGGCUGAUCACUGGAGCUGGGUGAUCCUGGCUCCUGGAUCUCACUGGCCAGACUGGUAGCUGUAACACCAUCAUUAUCCAUCAUGACACAGUUUUAACUCACCACUGUGUGAGGGUUGUUUUGUUGACUUCUGGCAACUGUAUGGUAGUCUCCUCCAUGAUUGUGAAGUUGUUCAGGAUGCACUCUCUAAUGUGCUUGUAAGCAGGAAUGAUGAUGGUCCACCUUGAAAAUGCCACACCUUCCACUCUCUUUGGGUUUGGGUAAGCCCUGCAGAGCUGGACAAAAAUGGCCUCAACAAUCCGGUUGCAAUCUGGCCACUGUCCAGGAAUGCGUGCUCCAGAAUAGCACCUAGGAGGACAAAGGCAAGAAAAAUGGACUCAGGCAAGAUCUGUAGAAGAAUAUGCAUCAGUGGCUGAACAGCUGUGACCAACAUACCGUUUUGUCCACUGCAUGCCUGGUGCAACGAUUUUUUGUGUUGCUCUAAGACGGCCUUUGUUCAGGGUUGUUUGGUGGCGUGGAGAAAAUACGGUGCGAUCCUUGUCGUGCUCUGAUAAUCUUUUCCAAAGAACAAUGUUAUUGGACUCUUCAAGGGUAAGAGCCAGGCUGUGCUCUCUCAGACUGAUGAGUGCUUCAGCCAAAUCUUGCACAGCUCUGAAACCUUCCGUGUUGUUCUAUGGAACUAGGAUUGGGACAAUAUUCAGCGUAACUUGUACAAUAUUCAGCGUAACUUGUACCAAGUUUUGUAACUUCAAACAUGUUUCAUCACAUGUAACUUUGGAUUCGUAACUUGUAACUUUGGAUUCGUAACUUGUAAUUCUCAAUUCGUACUUGUAUUCUUGUUUUGUAACAGGAACAUUGUAUUUUGUACAUGUAUUUUUUAUUUUGUAAAAUCAAACAUUCAUUCAGAAACAUGAAACUUUUGUUUUGUAACUAGCAGACUUCCAAAUUGAAAAAAAUCAAGGUACAAGUUUGAAAUCAAAACUCUCAAAACACACAAUUCAUUCUACAGGUACGAACCAAAAUCCUACAGUGUUACAGAUCUUUUUGUCUCUAUUCUAGCGUCAGUGGGAGGAACUUGGGUGGAACCAAUGAGAGCACGAGUCUAACCCCCAAAUUCCACUACCUCCGCUCCGCUCCGGUCCGCCCCCGCCUUCCGCAGCCGCUCGCUUCCGAACUCAAUUUUUACUGGUACACGCUCUACAACGGCUCCGCUCCGGUGCGGAGACCUGAGGUGGGCAAACAAGCAUGCGCGGGAUUUUCGAGAUCUUGCGAUACAGUCCGAGCAAUAAACGCGGAAGUUAGAUCCAAACACCCGUUGUGUGGGAGAAGCAUCGGCAUGAGCUGUUUAAUCUGCCUAUCAUUUGUGUUGAGAGAUCAGCAGUGUUUGGAUCAACAAAGUGUGACUACUUUGAUAGUAGAAACUGUAUUUAUGGCUUACUUUUGUGCAUUUAAACUUCAGCCGCCAUUGAUAGUUGUUAAAAGUUGUUAAACCUGUGCAUAUGAAACAAAAAACGCCUUUUGUUUAUCGAUUUAUUGUGAAAAACGGAAAUUGUGCUUGCUGCUUUUCCUGUUGGACAGUUGUGAUUUCUGUCCAUUUACUGCGGAGGUGCUACGGCGUCCGGCGAAAAUAGGAUCGAUUCUAUUUUUGCCGGACGCCGGAACAGAGGGCGGCGCACGGCGCUGCACUGCCGGAGCACAGCCGCAGUAGUGGAAUUGCUCUGAUUGACUACAACGGGACCGAUUUUGCUCUGGCGUUCGUGUCGGAGCGGAGCGGAGGUAGUGGAAUUUGGGGGUUAGCUACCAAUCACGUUUCUCGUAUUCCUGUCCAAUCAUUGGGAGAGGAGGGCAGAGCUGUAGAGACGACACUCCGAAUGUCCGAAUCCACAGGAAGGGUGCUUAUGAGUACGGAUUCUUACCGGUCUAGCAAGGCCGGGUCCUUGAAGACCGCUAAAACCGGAAGUCAGCAGCUCUGAAUUCGGACAGUCUAGCCUUCACCUCUACAGUGACCCGUAGGUCCCGUCACAGCCGUGGCGGCAGCUACACGCAAAGGAAAGAUGCUAAAGCUAGCGAAAAUCAAGCAGGAAUAUUAAGGAGCUACAGCAGCUUCACGUCCAUCAGCAGCGUUUGUUCACAACCGUUUUCAGUCAGCAUGCACUGUGCUGCACAUCUGCCUCUGUGCUGGUGAAGUUGUGGGUCUGGAGGAUGAGCCUGAGGAAGAUGUGUGUGGAGGAGGUCAGUGGUGCUCUGUCCUGGAGGAGGUACCAGCAGACCACCACUACUGUACAGGGAGUACAGGGAGGUGGAGUGUACAGUCGGUAAAGACGGCUCUCCCUUGCCCUGCCUCCAACAUGCCUACAUCUAAAUAGGAUAGAUUAUCCAGAGUUAUCUCUGCAGUUAUGCUGCUAUAGGCUUAGACUGCUGGAGGAUACACUGACCACUUCUCACACUCUACUGCUUUCUUCUACAGUCUGCUCUUUAACUGUACUAUUUUGUCCAAUUUCAGCUAUUAACUUUAUUUUCUCUGUAAGUGUUUUUCUCCCCAGAAGAUGCGACAAUGACGUUCUGCUGAGCUGUGGUGGCCACAUGGAGGGGGCUUCGACUAGCACACUGCUGCUAACCACUUAAACAUUCUCUCUCUCCUGAUAAUAACUUUUUAUUUUCAUUGACUUUUGAUGUGCUACUACUAGUUUAUCCGUUUAAUUACAGAUCCACUAGGAUAAAUACAAUAAAGUUUAUCUUUCACAAACAGAAUAUUUACUAAGACAUCACAAUAUAACUGUAGACACAUUACUUGUCCGUGUGUGUGUGUGUGUGUGUGUGUGUGUGUGUGUGUGUGUGUGUGUGUGUGUGUGUGUGUGUGUGUGUGUGUGUGUGUGUGUGUGUGUGUGUGUGUGUGUGUGUCUGCCUGCUCCGUCUUCUCGAUCCCCAGUGAGUCGUGGAGGAUGGCUGCUUAUACUGAGCCAGGAUUCUCUGGAGGUUUCUUCCUGUUAAAAGGGAGUUUUCCUCUCCACUGUUGCUUUAUGCUUGCUUAGUAUGAGGAUUGCUGUAUAGUCACUGACACCAGUCAGUGACUUGAUGCAAUUUGCUGGGUUCCUUAUAUAGGAAAAAUUAUAUCUGAUUGGCUUAAUGAACUGUCCUGAAUUGGAAUUUUUAUUAUGUGAAGUGCCUUGAGACGACUCUUGUCGUGAUUUGGCGCUAUAUAAAUAAACUUGAAUUGAAUUGAAUUGAAUUAACAGGCAAGUCAUUCACAGAGAUGUAACAGCCGUCGUCUGAGCCAGCCCAGCAGGCCCUGUAGAUGGACGAUGGAGUGGACCGUGAGAGGAAGCGUCCCAAAGCUCUCUCUGCAGACCGUCCUGUAUGAUGUUCCUCUGACCAGAAACGUCCAGCCACGGGUCUGCUCCAGCCCUCCAUCCACGUCUGGAUCCUCCUGCAGCAGAUCCAGCUGCACUGUUAAAGACUUCCUGCUCACUCAGUUUAAAUAAAUGAUCCAGGAAGAGUCACUCAGGUUAAUCCUGCUUUAACCUUACAAAACUGGUCCAUACUGGUUUUGAUCUGUAAAUAAGUGUAACGUAUUAUAAAUAAUCUUGUCUCCUUACCAUCUUUUCAUUUUCUGUUCAUGUAACAUGUUCAAAAACAUCUGUAAUAAUAAAACUGGUGAUAAAAUCAAUGA